GGGUUGUGAGGUUAAGCGACUAAGCGUACACGGUGGAUGCCCUGGCAGUCAGAGGCGAUGAAGGGCGUGCUAAUCUGCGAUAA
This 83-nucleotide ribosomal RNA is filed under the name Salmonella enterica. Its description in RNAcentral is "partial 23S ribosomal RNA". Lineage: Bacteria; Pseudomonadati; Pseudomonadota; Gammaproteobacteria; Enterobacterales; Enterobacteriaceae. The record is from RNAcentral.